RNAcentral lists this ribosomal RNA (911 nucleotides) under Polyphilus sieberi. RNAcentral describes it as "eukaryotic LSU rRNA". It matches the Rfam family "Eukaryotic large subunit ribosomal RNA", at positions 36 to 964 of the family's 3401-position model. Lineage: Eukaryota; Fungi; Ascomycota; Leotiomycetes; Helotiales. The record is from RNAcentral.
UAGCAUAUCAAUAAGCGGAGGAAAAGAAACCAACAGGGAUUGCCUCAGUAACGGCGAGUGAAGCGGCAACAGCUCAAAUUUGAAAUCUGGCUCUUUCAGGGUCCGAGUUGUAAUUUGUAGAAGAUGCUUCGGGUGUGGCUCCGGUCUAAGUUCCUUGGAACAGGACGUCAUAGAGGGUGAGAAUCCCGUAUGUGACUGGGUGCCUUCGCUCAUGUGAAGCUCUUUCGACGAGUCGAGUUGUUUGGGAAUGCAGCUCAAAAUGGGUGGUAAAUUUCAUCUAAAGCUAAAUAUUGGCCAGAGACCGAUAGCGCACAAGUAGAGUGAUCGAAAGAUGAAAAGCACUUUGGAAAGAGAGUUAAACAGUACGUGAAAUUGUUGAAAGGGAAGCGCUUGCAACCAGACUUGCACGCGGUUGAUCAUCCGGUGUUCUCACCGGUGCACUCUGCCGCGUUCAGGCCAGCAUCGGUUUUGGUGGUUGGAUAAAGGCCUAGGGAAUGUAGCUUCUUUCGGGGAGUGUUAUAGCCCUAGGUGCAAUGCAGCCUACUGGGACCGAGGACCGCGCUUCGGCUAGGAUGCUGGCGUAAUGGUUGUAAGCGACCCGUCUUGAAACACGGACCAAGGAGUCUAACAUCUAUGCGAGUGUUUGGGUGUCAAACCCAUACGCGUAAUGAAAGUGAACGGAGGUGAGAACCCUUAAGGGUGCAUCAUCGACCGAUCCUGAUGUCUUCGGAUGGAUUUGAGUAAGAGCAUAGCUGUUGGGACCCGAAAGAUGGUGAACUAUGCGUGAAUAGGGUGAAGCCAGAGGAAACUCUGGUGGAGGCUCGCAGCGGUUCUGACGUGCAAAUCGAUCGUCAAAUUUGCGCAUAGGGGCGAAAGACUAAUCGAACCAUCUAGUAGCUGGUUCCUGCCGA